CUGGUAAGAACUCAGGUUGAACUAAAUUCUCAAGGUUUGCAGUUACUAUGGAAACUAAGCAACUCAAAAUUAGCAUAACACUACAGAUCUGUUAUUCAGAUGGAGAAUCAGCAUUUAAAGAAAAAGAAAAGAGUUGGGUAUUUUACAGCCCAGGUCAUGCCUGAAAAGGAUCACCAAACCAGUAUAUCUACACACUUAACAAAUAUAAAAAUAAAAUAAAUCUCCAGGCCCCCAGACCUCUAUGAACAUGGAUAAGCGUGGAAGUAGUUUAUGGAAAAGCAACUAAAAGGGAAACCAUCUGCCUAAAAGGCCCGGAUUCAACAAGUGAUCCAGUGUGAUUAUGGAAAGAAAUUUGCUUUCAGAACUGUGAGAUGUGAUAAGAUAUAUCCUGACACUUUGAAAAAUUGGUUGUAAUUCAACCAGAAUAAAAGCAAAUUCUGAAACUC
This is a long non-coding RNA of Protopterus annectens (West African lungfish), 446 nucleotides long. RefSeq lists it as uncharacterized. The record is from RefSeq and is a predicted model, not a curated record. Lineage: Eukaryota; Metazoa; Chordata; Ceratodontiformes; Protopteridae. The transcript is spliced from 2 exons.